RNAcentral lists this ribosomal RNA (364 nucleotides) under Opecoelidae sp. KMD-2003. Its description in RNAcentral is "partial 16S ribosomal RNA". It matches the Rfam family "Bacterial large subunit ribosomal RNA", at positions 1804 to 2518 of the family's 2925-position model. The record is from RNAcentral. Lineage: Eukaryota; Metazoa; Platyhelminthes; Trematoda; Plagiorchiida; Opecoelidae.
UUAUUAAAAACAUUUCCAUUUGGUGUUUAUUGAUGGUAGUGCCUGCCCAAUGUUUAUAUUAAUGGCCGCAGUAUUCUGACUGUGNUAAGGUAGCAUAAUUAGUUGCCUCANAAUUAGGGGAUUGUUUGAAUGGUUUAACCAGGUGGGUGUUCUUAAAUGGGGGUUUUGUUNGAAAUUGGUGACUUGGUGCAGAGGCCAAGGUUGNGUAAUAAGACGGAAAGACCCCGAGAGCUUUAUAAUUAUUUAUUUNCUUGGGGCAAGGGUAUAUUGUUUAUAUAUUUUUGGAUCCUUUGGGAUGAAGGUUUAAGUUACCUCGGGGAUAACUAGGUAAGAAGCGAAGAGAGAUCUUAUCGGUUCGCUUGUU